Molecule: transfer RNA, 69 nt
Filed under: Myotis bombinus
Lineage: Eukaryota; Metazoa; Chordata; Mammalia; Chiroptera; Vespertilionidae
Description: tRNA-Gly
Rfam family: tRNA
About the family: Transfer RNA (tRNA) molecules are approximately 80 nucleotides in length.
Source: RNAcentral
AUUCUUUUAGUAUCAAUUAGUACAAUUGACUUCCAAUCAAUUAGUCUUGGAGAAAUCCAAGGAAGAAUA